Molecule: long non-coding RNA, 1513 nt
Organism: Struthio camelus australis
Lineage: Eukaryota; Metazoa; Chordata; Aves; Struthioniformes; Struthionidae
Source: RefSeq, a predicted model, not a curated record
ACUUGUCUUCCAACAGCUCUCCAUUUUUGGCACUUAUUCCCUCUCUGUUCUUCUAAAUUAGGUCAGCUCUGUUGACCUUCAGGGCACACUGCAGUAGCUGAAGCUUUUAUUCAUGCUUUAGAAGAAAGGCAAGAGGAGGAAGCAACACGCGUGCAGGGAAUAGCAAGCAGCUAGCAGGAUUUUGACAUCAAGUACACUGCUAAUUUUAACACUGAAAACAAAAGCGUGUUCAGCGCUCUUCAGCUAUGUCUGCUGAGGUACCUUUCGAUAGAGCUGAGCUCUGCGCAUCUUUGAAUACCAAGGAACAAGAAGAACAGCUGAUAUGAAUGAAAGAAGCAGCUGAUCCUACUCUCAUGGAGGCAUCUAAGGGUUGUUUAAAGUGAGUUCUAACAGGCCAAUAAGACAUCUCAUCCUUUUUUUUUUUAAGCAGAUUUCUUUUACUGGACCACCCUUUUACGGUUCAGGAGCAUAAAGCUUUUUAUUCUCAUCUUCUUUGCAGAGGUUUUUGUCCUUGUCAGCAAGCAACUAAUGCUCCUUUUGAGUAGAGCAUUAAAUAAUCUAAUCAACUUCCAUUCCACCUAGUUUGUUCUCACUUCCACAAGCGACAUGAGUUGCUUCUGUUGGGUGCUGUUUCAGUGUAUUUAAGGGUAUUCCAGUUAUAUACACAGAUACUUAUAUUAGAGAAGGGAUCAUCAAAAAGUAGUAGGAAAGCUCACUGUGCCUGAAAGGUGGAGCUGUGUGCAUUCCCAGAAGCUCAAGUAACCUGUUUGGGAAGCCUCUGCCUCCUGCUCCUUUUGGCCUUGGCAACAACCCACCAAAGCCUUGAACUUGGUACAGAAUUCACAGCUGAUGAGGAAAUAGUCCUCUCUUUCCUGCUCUUUACUAGUGAUUCAGCUUAAUGGUACAUUAAGCAGGAAAAAAAAAGGGGGGGGGGGAGAGAUUGGUAAAAGACCACGACUUCAUCUUGGUUCAUCCCUAGUGAAGGCAUGUGCUACAGAAAUGCACAAGGAGUCUGCAGGGCUCUCUCAUGGCUGUUUUUAUGGACCCCGUUGAAUCCUCAGCUAGAAAUAGCAGCCUCACUUAAUCUUCAACAAAGCACAAUUAGAUUUAUGUAACAGCAACAAACAAAAGCUCUAGAAAAUGUAUCAGUUAACUUCUCUUUUCUUAAGGGAAAAGAAUUAAAUAUCACCCUUAAUUCCAUCAAAGGACGUGGGCAUCCAAAUAAGUUACCACAUGGCAAAACUAGGGUACAGAUUUACUACACACAUCAGCACUCCAUAGUAACUGUCCACCUUCACCCUCUUACCCUAUAUUAAUUGUAAGGUAGCUUCUCAGUGAGAGGAAAAGGAUUAGGUAUCAGAACAAUUUAUAGGCAUUUUUCUCCCAGAGUUGUUAACCUCUGGAAAGAAAAAUAUUCUUCCAGGCCUAACAGCUCUUUUGUUAUUUUCAAGCAGUUUGUUUUUAAAAAGCUAUGAAAAUAACAUCUUGGUGUAAUUAGUUACAGUCCUAUACA